Molecule: ribosomal RNA, 465 nt
Filed under: Vreelandella stevensii
Lineage: Bacteria; Pseudomonadati; Pseudomonadota; Gammaproteobacteria; Oceanospirillales; Halomonadaceae
Description: partial 16S ribosomal RNA
Rfam family: Bacterial small subunit ribosomal RNA
Source: RNAcentral
CCUACGGGAGGCUGCAGUGGGGAAUAUUGGACAAUGGGGGGAACCCUGAUCCAGCCAUGCCGCGUGUGUGAAGAAGGCCCUCGGGUUGUAAAGCACUUUCAGUGAGGAAGAACGCCUGUUGGUUAAUACCCAUCAGGAAAGACAUCACUCACAGAAGAACCACCGGCUAACUCCGUGCCAGCAGCCGCGGUAAUACGGAGGGUGCGAGCGUUAAUCGGAAUUACUGGGCGUAAAGCGCGCGUAGGUGGCUUGAUAAGCCGGUUGUGAAAGCCCCGGGCUCAACCUGGGAACGGCAUCCGGAACUGUCAAGCUAGAGUGCAGGAGAGGAAGGUAGAAUUCCCGGUGUAGCGGUGAAAUGCGUAGAGAUCGGGAGGAAUACCAGUGGCGAAGGCGGCCUUCUGGACUGACACUGACACUGAGGUGCGAAAGCGUGGGUAGCAAACAGGAUUAGAUACCCCAGUAGUC